Molecule: unclassified non-coding RNA, 65 nt
Filed under: Mus musculus (house mouse)
Lineage: Eukaryota; Metazoa; Chordata; Mammalia; Rodentia; Muridae
Description: partial derived from hnRNA or mRNA fragment, or novel small non-messenger RNA without known sequence-or structural motifs
Source: RNAcentral
GGAAGUCCAAGAUUAAGAUCACUUCCAGCUCUGUUCCUGGGGUGGGCUUUCUUCCUGGUUUACAA